Molecule: ribosomal RNA, 253 nt
Filed under: uncultured bacterium
Lineage: Bacteria
Description: partial 16S ribosomal RNA
Rfam family: Bacterial small subunit ribosomal RNA
Source: RNAcentral
UACGUAGGGUGCAGGCGUUAUUCGGAAUUACUGGGCUUAAAGCGUGCGCAGGCGGUUUGCUAAGUCAGGUGUGAAAUCCCCGGGCUUAACCUGGGAACUGCGCUUGUAACUGGCAAGCUAGAGUGUGGCAGAGGGGGGUGGAAUUCCACGUGUAGCAGUGAAAUGCGUAGAGAUGUGGAGGAACACCGAUGGCGAAGGCAGCCCCCUGGGCUAACACUGACGCUGAUGCACGAAAGCGUGGGGAGCAAACAGG